UAGCCAAAUCGAUGGUGACUUUGAAGACU
This 29-nucleotide non-coding RNA is filed under the name Homo sapiens (human). Lineage: Eukaryota; Metazoa; Chordata; Mammalia; Primates; Hominidae. The record is from RNAcentral.